Candidatus Vogelbacteria bacterium GWA1_51_14 is the source of this 3370-nucleotide non-coding RNA. The record is from Rfam. NCBI's taxonomy places the organism in Bacteria, Candidatus Vogeliibacteriota.
CACCGGAGAUCUAAGAGCAUGUGGUGGAUGCCUAGACUCUAAAUGGCGAUGAAGGACGUAGCAUAGCUGCGAUAAGCUUCGGGGAGGUGUUGAGCAACCUUCGAUCCGGAGAUUUCCGAAUGGGGAAACCCCUUACAGUAAUCCUGUAAGACCCUGCCCUUGAGGCAGAGGAGCGCACCUAGGGAAGUGAAACAUCUCAGUACCUAGAGGAACAGAAACAAAUCAGAAGCUUUUUAAUCUUGGCGAGAUAGUUAUCGCUAGGAUUAAGAAGCUUUGUGUAUUCCCUUAGUAGCGGCGAGCGAAAAGGGAGAAGCCCAAACCUAUGCAUUUAUGCAUGGGGGUUGUAAGGUAAUGGCGUAGUUAUUCUAGAAGAGUUACAAAUGUUUAAAUUAAUCGAAGCCGCUGGGAAGCGGCGCCACAGACGGUAAUAGCCCGGUAGAUGAAAAUUUAAGCACUCUUUUGCCAUUAUUCUUGAGUACCUCGGGACAUGACUAGCUUGAGGGAAUCCGGCAGUACUAACUGCCAAGGCUAAAUACAUUUAGAGAUCGAUAGUGAACUAGUACCGUGAGGGAAAGGUGAAAAGCAGCCCGAUAAGGGCGUUGAAAUAGAUCCUGAAACCACAUGCUUACAAGGAGUCGGAGCCCGCAAGGGUGACGGCGUGCCUAUUGAAGAAUGAGCCAACGAGUUUAUCUUUAUCCUUUGUUUAAUCUGUUAACACAGAGAAGGCAUAGCGAAAGCGAGUCUUAAUAGGGCGUAAUUGAGGUUAGAGAUAAGACCCGAAGCCGGGUGAGCUUGCCAUGAGCAGGGUGAAGUUGCGAGAAAUCGCAAUGGAGGCCCGAACCGUUUAGUCGUGCAACACUAUCGGAUGACUUGUGGUAAGGAGUGAAAAGCUAAUCGAACUCGGUAAUAGCUGGUUCUCUCCGAAAUAGCUUUAGGGUUAGCGUCUUGGUUACCUGCUGGGGGUAGAGCACUGGAAGAGUUGAAUAGGGGGAAACUUCGUCAACUCUAUCAAACUCCGAAUACCAGCAGUCAUUACAAGGCAGUUAGACGGUGGGGGCUAAGCUCCACUCGUCGAAAGGGAAACAGCCCAGAUCGCAAUCUAAGGUCCCUAAAUUAACGUUAAGUGCACUUAAGGAGGUGAGAUUUCUCUGACAAUGAGGAUGUUGGCUUAGAAGCAGCCAUCAUUUAAAGAAAGCGUAAUAGCUCACUCAUUCAGAGAUCUCGCGCCGCAGAUUCUCGGGGCUAAACGUUAUACCGAAGGUGCGGGCUUUAUCAGUCCUCGGACUGAUGGAGCGGUAGGAGAGUGUUCUGUUCGGCUGUGAAGGUUGGUCGCGAGGCCGGCUGGAGCGGACAGAAGUAAGAAUGUUGGCACAAGUAACCGCAAUCCCGGUGAGAUCCCGGGACGCCAAAAGACUAAGGUUUCCUUGGCAAUGGUAAUCAGCCAAGGGUUAGUCGGGCCUAAGGGGAUGACGACAGUCGGACCCGAUGGACAGAUGGUUAAUAUUCCAUCACUUCCGGUUGGUGCGAUGGGGCGACGGAGGGUUAUAGACAGAGCGCAUUAAUGGUUUUGCGUUCGGGCAGUGAGGAGGCUGGUCAGGUAAAUCCGGCUGGCAAUACUCCAAGCUGAGCGAAAAUGCCAAGGGCAACCGCGGCAAAUUUUGUUGAACACGCUUCCAAGAAAAACCUCUAAGCAUAACCAACUGGGAACCGUACCGUAAACCGACACAGGUAGUCAGGUCGAGUAGACCACGGCGAACGAGUGAUUGCUCCUCAAGGAACUCGGCAAAAAAGCGGCCGUAACUUCGGAAUAAGGCCUGCCCGCGUUUUUGACGCGGGCCGCAGCGAAAGUAUCCCUGGCGACUGUUUACCAAAAACACAGCUCCCUGCGAACUCGCAAGAGGAUGUAUAGGGGGUGACACCUGACCAAUGCCAGAAGGUCAAACAAGGUUGGUCUAAUAUCUUCGGAUGUUAGGCUGUACUUUGCAAGCCCUGGUGAAUGUCGGCGAUAACUAUAAUCGUCCUAAGGUAGCGAAAUUCCUUGUCGGGUAAAUUCCGACGCGCACGAAUGGUGUAACGAUCAGGGAACUGUCUCGAGGAGUAGCUCGGUGAAAAUGCAAUGGGGGUGAAGAUGCCCUCUACCUGCAGUUAGACGAAAAGACCCCAGAAGCUUUACUAUAGCUUGAUAUUGGGUGUGUGUUUAGGCUGCGUAGCAUAGGUGGGAGACUUUGAAGCGGAGGUUUUGGCUUCCGUGGAGUCAUCAGUGAAAUACCACUCUGUCAUGAUGCACAUUCUAACCAGAACGGCAAAAACGUUUUGAGACAGUAUCUGGUGGGUAGUUUUAGUGGGGCGCUAUCCUCCUAAAAAGUAACGGAGGAGUUUAUUAAGGUCAGCUAGGCGCGAAUGGAAACCGUGCCGAUAGUGUAAUGGCAUAAGCUGGCUUGACUGCAAGACGUACAUGUCGAGCAGGUACGAAAGUAGAACAUAGUGAACCGACAGUCCGCAUUAGACGCGGCUGGAGAUUAACGGAUAAAAGCUACUCUGGGGAUAACAGGCUGGUUCCGCCCAAGCGUCCAUAGCGACGGCGGAGUUCGGCACCUCGAUGUCGGCUCAUCUUAUCCUGGGGCUGGAGCAGGUCCCAAGGGUUCGGCUGUUCGCCGAUUAAAAAGAUACGCGAGCUGGGUUCAAACCGUAGACGAUACGAAUCUACGAAUUAAUACGAAUUAAUACGAAUAUUACGAAUAAUUUAUUUGUAUCAUUCGUCCUUUAUUUAAUUUGUAUUAUUCGCAUCGUGUACAGUUUGAACCCCUUCGAUUGAGUUAUUUAAAAAUUUUUCGUCUAUGCAAUUGAAAGAUAGAAUCAACCAUAUUACGGCGGCGCUCAACAGUAAUGCUGAGCUGCUUAGUUAACUAAUAUCGGUAAAAUCCAGUAUGCGAAUGCCUUAACAAAUAGGCACAUGCAAAUGGGACAAUACCGAGGGAAGAGUGAUUAAAUUAAUACUCACCCGUAGAGACUAAAUGUUAACUUUCUCGCAAGAGAAAAAGUUAUAGUCCAUUCCUUGUAGUAAUGCAAGACAAGAAGCGUAAGACAGGUUGGUCUCCUAUCUACUGCAGGCGUUGAUAAUUGAGAGGAGUUGUUUCUAGUACGAGAGGACCGAAAUGAACUGACCUCUGGUCUGUCGGCUGUGCCACCAGGUGCAAUGCCGAGUAGCUAUGUCGGGAACGGAUAACCGCUGAAAGCAUCUAAGCGGGAAGCCGACCUCAAGAUUAAUUAUCGUUAUGAGACCCGUAGGAGAUGACUACGUUGAUAGGCACUAGGUGGAAGUAUGGCAACAUAUUGAGCCGUGGUGUACUAAUUCGUCCACUCCGGUGGG